This 765-nucleotide ribosomal RNA is filed under the name Pseudoalteromonas sp. Its description in RNAcentral is "bacterial SSU rRNA". It matches the Rfam family "Bacterial small subunit ribosomal RNA", at positions 36 to 797 of the family's 1533-position model. The record is from RNAcentral. Lineage: Bacteria; Pseudomonadati; Pseudomonadota; Gammaproteobacteria; Alteromonadales; Pseudoalteromonadaceae.
CGGGCCGGGCGGCGGCUACCAUGCAGUCGAGCGGAAACAAAUAGUAGCUUGCUACUCUGGCGACGAGCGGCGGACGGGUGAGUAAUGCUUGGGAACAUGCCUUGAGGUGGGGGACAACAGUUGGAAACGACUGCUAAUACCGCAUAAUGUCUACGGACCAAAGGGGGCUUCGGCUCUCGCCUUUAGAUUGGCCCAAGUGGGAUUAGCUAGUUGGUGAGGUAAUGGCUCACCAAGGCGACGAUCCCUAUCUGGUUUGAGAGGAUGAUCACCCACACUGGGACUGAGACACGGCCCACACUCCUACGGGAGGCAGCAGUGGGGAAUAUUGCACAAUGGGCGCAAGCCUGAUGCACCCAUGCCGCGUGUGUGAAAAAGGCCUUCGGGUUGUAAAGCACUUUCAGUCAGGAGGAAAGGUUAGUAGUUAAUACCUGCUAGCUGUGACGUUACUGACAGAAAAAGCACCGGCUAACUCCGUGCCAGCAGCCGCGGUAAUACGGAGGGUGCGAGCGUUAAUCGGAAUUACUGGGCGUAAAGCGUACGCAGGCGGUUUGUUAAGCGAGAUGUGAAAGCCCCGGGCUCAACCUGGGAACUGCAUUUCGAACUGGCAAACUAGAGUGUGAUAGAGGGUGGUAGAAUUUCAGGUGUAGCGGUGAAAUGCGUAGAGAUCUGAAGGAAUACCGAUGGCGAAGGCAGCCACCUGGGUCAACACUGACGCUCAUGUACGAAAGCGUGGGGAGCAAACAGGAUUAUAUACUCUGAUACACA